RNAcentral lists this ribosomal RNA (253 nucleotides) under uncultured bacterium. Its description in RNAcentral is "partial 16S ribosomal RNA". It matches the Rfam family "Bacterial small subunit ribosomal RNA", at positions 524 to 776 of the family's 1533-position model. The record is from RNAcentral.
UACAGGGGGGGCAAGCGUUGUUCGGAAUUACUGGGCGUAAAGGGUUCGUAGGUGGCCACUUAAGUCAGACGUGAAAUCCCUCAGCUUAACUGGGGAACUGCGUCUGAUACUGAGUGGCUUGAGUGCAGGAGAGGAAUGCGGAAUUCCAGGUGUAGCGGUGAAAUGCGUAGAUAUUGGGAGGAACACCAGUGGCGAAGGCGGCUCACUGGACCGGUUCUGACGCUGAGGCGCGAAAGCGUGGGGAGCAAACGGG